This is a non-coding RNA of Anolis sagrei ordinatus, 407 nucleotides long. NCBI's taxonomy places the organism in Eukaryota, Metazoa, Chordata, Lepidosauria, Squamata, Anolidae. The record is from the annotation of a RefSeq genome assembly.
ACCCUUUUGGAGAGCUCACCAUGGCCCUGGCCCUACUGUCCUUGGUGCUUCUCGAUUACUAUGCUGGUGUCCAUUCUCAGGGAACAUUGACUCAGUCAGCUUCAGUGUCUGGGUCUCUGGGACAGACGGCCACACUCUCCUGCAUCAAAAGCAGUGGAAGCUGGAGCAGCGUUAUCUCCUGGUAUCAGCAGAGAUCUGGAGAGGCCCCUCGCUCUGUUCACUGCAAUGGCUGCAGCAGCAGGGGAGCAGGGAUCCCAGAUCGGUUCACGGCAUCCGUUUCUGGAAACACAGGCUCUUUAUCCAUCACAAAUGUCCAGGGUGAAGACGAGGCUGAUUACUACUGUUUGUCUUACUAUAGCACAGGCAGCUUGUAUCAUUCACAGUGGUUCAUUCUCAUGGGGAAGUGA